RNAcentral lists this ribosomal RNA (253 nucleotides) under uncultured bacterium. Its description in RNAcentral is "partial 16S ribosomal RNA". It matches the Rfam family "Bacterial small subunit ribosomal RNA", at positions 524 to 776 of the family's 1533-position model. The record is from RNAcentral.
GACAGAGGUGCCGAGCGUUAGGCGGAAUCACUGGGCUUAAAGCGUGUGUAGGCGGGCGGGCAAGUACCUUGUGAAAUCCCACGGCUCAACCGUGGAACUACUGGGUAUACUGCCUGUCUUGAGCCAGCUAGGGGCGGCCGGAACAGACGGUGGAGCGGUGAAAUGCGUAGAUAUCGUCUGGAACGCCAAAGGUGAAAACAGGCCGCUGGGGCUGUGCUGACGCUGAGACACGAAAGCCAGGGGAGCGAACGGG